GGUUAAGUGAAUAAGGGCGCACGGUGGAUGCCUUGGCACUAGGAGCCGAUGAAGGACGGGACUAACACCGAUAUGCUUUGGGGAGCUGUACGUAAGCUAUGAUCCAGAGAUUUCCGAAUGGGGGAACCCAGCAUCUUUUAUAGGAUGUUACAAAUAUGUGAAUACAUAGCAUAUUUGAGGUAGACGCAGAGAACUGAAACAUCUAAGUACCUGCAGGAAGAGAAAGAAAAUUCGAUUCCCUGAGUAGCGGCGAGCGAAACGGGAAAAGCCCAAACCAACAAGCUUGCUUGUUGGGGUUGUAGGACUCC
RNAcentral lists this ribosomal RNA (308 nucleotides) under Enterococcus thailandicus. RNAcentral's name for it is "partial 23S ribosomal RNA". It matches the Rfam family "Bacterial large subunit ribosomal RNA", at positions 1 to 309 of the family's 2925-position model. Lineage: Bacteria; Bacillati; Bacillota; Bacilli; Lactobacillales; Enterococcaceae. The record is from RNAcentral.